GACGAACGCUGGCGGCGUGCCUAAUACAUGCAAGUAGAACGCUGAAGGAGGAGCUUGCUUCUCUGGAUGAGUUGCGAACGGGUGAGUAACGCGUAGGUAACCUGCCUGGUAGCGGGGGAUAACUAUUGGAAACGAUAGCUAAUACCGCAUAAGAGUAGAUGUUGCAUGAUAUUUGCUUAAAAGGUGCAAUUGCAUCACUACCAGAUGGACCUGCGUUGUAUUAGCUAGUUGGUGGGGUAACGGCUCACCAAGGCGACGAUACAUAGCCGACCUGAGAGGGUGAUCGGCCACACUGGGACUGAGACACGGCCCAGACUCCUACGGGAGGCAGCAGUAGGGAAUCUUCGGCAAUGGACGGAAGUCUGACCGAGCAACGCCGCGUGAGUGAAGAAGGUUUUCGGAUCGUAAAGCUCUGUUGUAAGAGAAGAACGAGUGUGAGAGUGGAAAGUUCACACUGUGACGGUAUCUUACCAGAAAGGGACGGCUAACUACGUG
RNAcentral lists this ribosomal RNA (495 nucleotides) under uncultured bacterium. RNAcentral describes it as "partial 16S ribosomal RNA". It matches the Rfam family "Bacterial small subunit ribosomal RNA", at positions 28 to 507 of the family's 1533-position model. The record is from RNAcentral.